RNAcentral lists this ribosomal RNA (1512 nucleotides) under Serratia marcescens. Its description in RNAcentral is "partial 23S ribosomal RNA". It matches the Rfam family "Bacterial large subunit ribosomal RNA", at positions 718 to 2207 of the family's 2925-position model. Lineage: Bacteria; Pseudomonadati; Pseudomonadota; Gammaproteobacteria; Enterobacterales; Yersiniaceae. The record is from RNAcentral.
AAACCCGGUGAUCUAGCCAUGGGCAGGUUGAAGGUUGGGUAACACUAACUGGAGGACCGAACCGACUAAUGUUGAAAAAUUAGCGGAUGACUUGUGGCUGGGGGUGAAAGGCCAAUCAAACCGGGAGAUAGCUGGUUCUCCCCGAAAGCUAUUUAGGUAGCGCCUCGUGAACUCAUCUUCGGGGGUAGAGCACUGUUUCGGCUAGGGGGCCAUCCCGGCUUACCAAACCGAUGCAAACUCCGAAUACCGAAGAAUGUUAUCACGGGAGACACACGGCGGGUGCUAACGUCCGUCGUGAAGAGGGAAACAACCCAGACCGCCAGCUAAGGUCCCAAAGUCAUGGUUAAGUGGGAAACGAUGUGGGAAGGCACAGACAGCCAGGAUGUUGGCUUAGAAGCAGCCAUCAUUUAAAGAAAGCGUAAUAGCUCACUGGUCGAGUCGGCCUGCGCGGAAGAUGUAACGGGGCUAAACCAUGCACCGAAGCUGCGGCAGCGACGCUUAGGCGUUGUUGGGUAGGGGAGCGUUCUGUAAGCCGUUGAAGGUGGCCUGUGAGGGUUGCUGGAGGUAUCAGAAGUGCGAAUGCUGACAUAAGUAACGAUAAAGCGGGUGAAAAGCCCGCUCGCCGGAAGACCAAGGGUUCCUGUCCAACGUUAAUCGGGGCAGGGUGAGUCGACCCCUAAGGCGAGGCUGAAAAGCGUAGUCGAUGGGAAACAGGUUAAUAUUCCUGUACUUGGUGUUACUGCGAAGGGGGGACGGAGAAGGCUAGGCUAGCCGGGCGACGGUUGUCCCGGUUUAAGCGUGUAGGGGGUGUGACCUGGUAAAUCCGGUUGCAUAUUAACCCUGAGGCGUGAUGACGAUGCACUACGGUGCAGAAGUAGUUGAUGCCCUGCUUCCAGGAAAAUCCUCUAAGCUCCAGGUAACAUUAAAUCGUACCCCAAACCGACACAGGUGGUCAGGUAGAGAAUACCAAGGCGCUUGAGAGAACUCGGGUGAAGGAACUAGGCAAAAUGGUGCCGUAACUUCGGGAGAAGGCACGCUGGCAUGUAGGUGAAGUCCCUCGCGGAUGGAGCCGAAGCCAGUCGAAGAUACCAGCUGGCUGCAACUGUUUAAUAAAAACACAGCACUGUGCAAACACGAAAGUGGACGUAUACGGUGUGACGCCUGCCCGGUGCUGGAAGGUUAAUUGAUGGGGUCAGCCGCAAGGCGAAGCUCUUGAUCGAAGCCCCAGUAAACGGCGGCCGUAACUAUAACGGUCCUAAGGUAGCGAAAUUCCUUGUCGGGUAAGUUCCGACCUGCACGAAUGGCGUAAUGAUGGCCAGGCUGUCUCCACCCGAGACUCAGUGAAAUUGAACUCGCUGUGAAGAUGCAGUGUACCCGCGGCAAGACGGAAAGACCCCGUGAACCUUUACUAUAGCUUGACACUGAACAUUGAGCCUUGAUGUGUAGGAUAGGUGGGAGGCUUUGAAGCGUGGACGCCAGUCUGCGUGGAGCCAUCCUUGAAAUACCACCCUU